UACGGGGGGGGCAAGCGUUGUUCGGAAUUACUGGGCGUAAAGGGCUCGUAGGUGGCCAACUAAGUCAGACGUGAAAUCCCCAGGCUCAACUUGGGAACUGCGUCUGAUACUGGAUGGCUUGAAUUCGGGAGAGGGAUGCAGAAUUCCAGGUGUAGCGGUGAAAUGCGUAGAUAUACGGAGGAACACCAGCGGCGAAGGCGGGUAGCUGGGCCAACACUGACGCUGAUGCGCGAAAGCCAGGGUAGCAAACGGG
Molecule: ribosomal RNA, 253 nt
Filed under: uncultured bacterium
Lineage: Bacteria
Description: partial 16S ribosomal RNA
Rfam family: Bacterial small subunit ribosomal RNA
Source: RNAcentral